Molecule: microRNA precursor, 177 nt
Filed under: Paramuricea clavata
Lineage: Eukaryota; Metazoa; Cnidaria; Anthozoa; Malacalcyonacea; Plexauridae
Source: RNAcentral
UAUAAAACAAAUAAUGAAUGUUUUCAUUCGUGCAAUGGUAAGAAAUAUUUUCAUUCGGUGAAAGAUGGAAUGUUCCAUUCAACGAGGCGACAGCCGAGUUGAAUGGAACAUUCCAUCUUUCACCUCAUGAAAAUAUUCUUACCAUUGCACUCAUAAACAUUCAUUAUUUGUAUACUA